UGACCCUCUUACUGACCGUAUAGUCUCUUGGGGUGAUGAUCAAGCUUCCUUUGUUGUGUGGAGACCUCCUGAAUUUGCUAGGGAUCUCCUCCCUAAUUACUUCAAGCACAACAACUUCUCAAGCUUUGUUAGGCAGCUCAACACCUAUGGAUUUAAGAAAGUAGUUGCAGACAGAUGGGAGUUUGCAAAUGAGUGCUUUAGAAAAGGAGCAAAGCAUUUGUUAUCUGAGAUCCACAGGAGAAAAACCCCACUGAAUCAGCACCCACCAGUAGUACUACCUCAUCAAAUUCUCCAACAAGAAGAAAGUUUUGGUUGGAUUGAUCCUCCAAUAUUUCCAUUAUCUCCAAAACCCACAACAGAUCUCCUGACAGCUCUCUCUGAAGAUAAUCAGAGACUGAGAAGGAAAAACUACAUGCUUUUAUCAGAACUUUCCCACAUGAAGAGCC
Molecule: unclassified non-coding RNA, 446 nt
Filed under: Hevea brasiliensis (rubber tree)
Lineage: Eukaryota; Viridiplantae; Streptophyta; Magnoliopsida; Malpighiales; Euphorbiaceae
Source: RNAcentral